CAAGCACCAACACCGGCUGAGGAAUGUAAACAGAGGCUGCCAGCUAACAUACUCCUCAUGGGCGUACAUCGUCAAAGUCCACCGUUUGAAUACCUUCAAACAUUUUUUCAAGGCCUGUUCGAUUUACGGGGUGAGCAGGUUCGACGUGACGCCGAGCAACCUCAACUCAAAACUGUCCAACUCUCCUCCUUCAAUACGUUUCAGUGACUUGACUGACUUCACCGAAAUAACAGAACCUGUGAGCCCGGUACCUCAAGAGCUGUUCCGGUUCCGCGAUUACGAACAGCUCCAGCACAUCUUCCAGGUAUGGAAGUUGGGUAGUUUGCUACACAUAUGCAACAUGGUUUUCUCUUGGAGGCUUGGCAGUAACUGGUAAAAAAUAUGAAAACUAUUUGGCUAUGUGUGAAGGUGUUGACUUCCUUCUCAAGUAACAAAAUAUCAAUGGAGGUUGGGGAGAAAGCUAUUUGUCUUGCUCUUAAAAGAGAUACAUAGAGUUAGAAGGGAGAAAGAUCAAACCUGGUUCGAACCUCUUGGGCAUUGGUGGGUCUGAUUCAAACAGGACAGGUCGAGAAAGAUCUGUUGCCUCCUCAGCGCGUUGGAAAACUGAUC
Long non-coding RNA from Brassica oleracea var. oleracea, 609 nucleotides. RefSeq lists it as uncharacterized. The record is from RefSeq and is a predicted model, not a curated record. The transcript has 5 exons. Lineage: Eukaryota; Viridiplantae; Streptophyta; Magnoliopsida; Brassicales; Brassicaceae.